GAUGAACGCUGGCGGCGUGCCUAAUACAUGCAAGUCGAGCGAACAGACGAGGAGCUUGCUCCUUUGACGUUAGCGGCGGACGGGUGAGUAACACGUGGGUAACCUACCUAUAAGACUGGGAUAACUUCGGGAAACCGGAGCUAAUACCGGAUAAUAUUUCGAACCGCAUGGUUCGAUAGUGAAAGAUGGCUCUGCUAUCACUUUUAGAUGGACCUGCGCCGUAUUAGCUAGUUGGUAAGGUAACGGCUUACCAAGGCAACGAUACGUAGCCGACCUGAGAGGGUGAUCGGCCACACUGGAACUGAGACACGGUCCAGACUCCUACGGGAGGCAGCAGUAGGGAAUCUUCCGCAAUGGGCGAAAGCCUGACGGAGCAACGCCGCGUGAGUGAUGAAGGUCUUCGGAUCGUAAAACUCUGUUAUUAGGGAAGAACAAACGUGUAAGUAACUGUGCACGUCUUGACGGUACCUAAUCAGAAAGCCACGGCUAACUACGU
This 496-nucleotide ribosomal RNA is filed under the name uncultured bacterium. RNAcentral describes it as "partial 16S ribosomal RNA". It matches the Rfam family "Bacterial small subunit ribosomal RNA", at positions 28 to 506 of the family's 1533-position model. The record is from RNAcentral.